RNAcentral lists this ribosomal RNA (574 nucleotides) under uncultured haloarchaeon. Its description in RNAcentral is "bacterial SSU rRNA". It matches the Rfam family "Archaeal small subunit ribosomal RNA", at positions 340 to 913 of the family's 1478-position model. Lineage: Archaea; Methanobacteriati; Methanobacteriota; Halobacteria; Halobacteriales; Halobacteriaceae. The record is from RNAcentral.
CGCGAAACCUUUACACUGCACGAGAGUGCGAUAAGGGGACUCCCAGUGCGAGGGCAUACAGUCCUCGCUUUUCUGGACCGUAGGGAGGUCCAGGAACAAGUGCUGGGCAAGACCGGUGCCAGCCGCCGCGGUAAUACCGGCAGCACGAGUGAUGGCCGAUAUUAUUGGGCCUAAAGCGUCCGUAGCCGGCCAGACAAGUCCGUUGGGAAAUCCACGUGCUCAACACGUGGGCGUCCAGCGGAAACUGCCUGGCUUGGGGCCGGAAGACCCAAGGGGUACGUCCGGGGUAGGAGUGAAAUCCCGUAAUCCUGGACGGACCGCCGAUGGCGAAAGCACCUUGGGAGGACGGACCCGACGGUGAGGGACGAAAGCCAGGGUCUCGAACCGGAUUAGAUACCCGGGUAGUCCUGGCCGUAAACGAUGUCCGCUAGGUGUGGCGCAGGCUACGAGCCUGCGCUGUGCCGUAGGGAAGCCGUGAAGCGGACCGCCUGGGAAGUACGUCUGCAAAGAUGAAACUUAAAGGAAUUGGCGGGGGAGCACUACAACCGGAGGAGCCUGCGGUUUAAUUGGAAUC